Molecule: small RNA, 28 nt
Filed under: Bombyx mori (domestic silkworm)
Lineage: Eukaryota; Metazoa; Arthropoda; Insecta; Lepidoptera; Bombycidae
Description: ovarian small RNA-8937
Source: RNAcentral
UGUAUCGUGAAUGAUAAGCGAUGUUAGA